AGAAUCAUAAUCAGAGUAACAAGCAGGAGAAACAGUACCCACAUAACCAAAAUAGGUAGGCAUGGGAAAGAAAGGGGAAAAGAAGAAUGCAAUGAAAAUAUGCAACUAAAGCUACCUAAAUGCAACACACAUAACACACAUACAAAAAUGAACACACAAAACAGAACAUCAGACUCACAACACAAGACAAGACACAACACACACUAACACAACAAAUGACCUAAAACCGAACCGUUGGUCCCCAACAACGGCGCCAAAAUUUUGAUGGGUGUCGCACCCCAUGCAAAAUUUAAUGUGCAUAAAAGAAUGCAGUAUAGACUAGGAAGU
Molecule: long non-coding RNA, 327 nt
Filed under: Vigna radiata
Lineage: Eukaryota; Viridiplantae; Streptophyta; Magnoliopsida; Fabales; Fabaceae
Description: long non-coding RNA (VRAD_LNC006709)
Source: RNAcentral